AAGUGAGAAUGCCGGUGUGAGUAGCGAAAGACGGGUGAGAAUCCCGUCCACCGAUUGACUAAGGUUUCCAGAGGAAGGCUCGUCCGCUCUGGGUUAGUCGGGUCCUAAGCUGAGGCCGACAGGCGUAGGCGAUGGAUAACAGGUUGAUAUUCCUGUACCACCUAUAAUCGUUUUAAUCGAUGGGGGGACGCAGUAGGAUAGGCGAAGCGUGCGAUUGGAUUGCACGUCUAAGCAGUAAGGCUGAGUAUUAGGCAAAUCCGGUACUCGUUAAGGCUGAGCUGUGAUGGGGAGAAGACAUUGUGUCUUCGAGUCGUUGAUUUCACACUGCCGAGAAAAGCCUCUAGAUAGAAAAUAGGUGCCCGUACCGCAAACCGACACAGGUAGUCAAGAUGAGAAUUCUAAGGUGAGCGAGCGAACUCUCGUUAAGGAACUCGGCAAAAUGACCCCGUAACUUCGGGAGAAGGGGUGCUCUUUAGGGUUAACGCCCAGAAGAGCCGCAGUGAAUAGGCCCAAGCGACUGUUUAUCAAAAACACAGGUCUCUGCUAAACCGUA
Molecule: ribosomal RNA, 553 nt
Filed under: Staphylococcus aureus
Lineage: Bacteria; Bacillati; Bacillota; Bacilli; Caryophanales; Staphylococcaceae
Description: partial 23S ribosomal RNA
Rfam family: Bacterial large subunit ribosomal RNA
Source: RNAcentral